Molecule: small RNA, 192 nt
Filed under: uncultured Anaerovibrio sp.
Lineage: Bacteria; Bacillati; Bacillota; Negativicutes; Selenomonadales; Selenomonadaceae
Description: ydaO/yuaA leader
Rfam family: c-di-AMP riboswitch aptamer (ydaO/yuaA leader)
About the family: This family represents a conserved RNA structure found upstream of the ydaO and yuaA genes in Bacillus subtilis and related genes in other bacteria. The ydaO/yuaA element is thought to act as a genetic "off" switch for the ydaO and yuaA genes in its native state. It is believed that the element may be triggered during osmotic shock leading to activation of ydaO, a predicted amino acid transporter gene, and members of the yuaA-yubG operon which code for KtrA and KtrB K+ transporters.
Source: RNAcentral
CAUAAAAAGCCUAAUCCAGCCCAGGAGCGGGGGAACCAAAUUAUUAAUUCUAGUGGACUCAAUUUGAAAGUAGAUUGAGAACAUAAAGGUUAUUGGGGUGAAUUUAAACGCGGCGGCUUCGGCAAGACCGUAGAAAAGGGUAUAUCUCAACCCUAACCCGACAGCUAACCUCGUAGGCGAAAAGAGAGAGGA